This is a long non-coding RNA of Sander lucioperca (pikeperch), 545 nucleotides long. RefSeq lists it as uncharacterized. The record is from RefSeq and is a predicted model, not a curated record. Lineage: Eukaryota; Metazoa; Chordata; Actinopteri; Perciformes; Percidae. The transcript has 4 exons.
AUGUGCAGCCUGUUGGAAAGUGUCUUUUUUUUUUUUUUUUUUUCGUUUCCGGGUGUCAGAAGUGACAUUGCGUAACCUUUCUGGUAAAUUAGAUUAAAAAAAGAUGACGCUGCAGUUCAACCACCAAGUUCAAAGAAAUAAACACAUAAUCCGUUGGGCAGCGGCCGUGACUGUGCGACUGUACACUCCAACAGACCCCUCCAGCCAGGCUGUGACACAGAAGAACAACAAGCAACAUUGAUACUUAAGACUGUGGACAUCACCAUGAGAAGAGAAUACUUCCUCAAAUCUCUGAUCUACCUUGGCGAACCUGUUGAGUUAUCAAAGAAUACCAGGAAAAUGUGGCUGAAGAACUGGAGCAGACAACCAUGGCGAUCUUUAUCACUGGGAAAGAGGAUCCUCUCCAUCCACCCAAAUACAUCAAAAUUGUCAUCGAAGGAACAGAGGUCCUGAACGAGUUGCCCUCGGUUGCAACAGCUUUUGCCAUGGUCUUUGGGCUCAUAGACACACUCAACCUAAAAUAUCCGAAAAGGCUGCAGUUCACC